This 472-nucleotide ribosomal RNA is filed under the name unidentified nematode Sourhope farm. RNAcentral's name for it is "SSU rRNA". It matches the Rfam family "Eukaryotic small subunit ribosomal RNA", at positions 61 to 529 of the family's 1831-position model. The record is from RNAcentral. Lineage: Eukaryota; Metazoa; Nematoda.
AAGUAUAACCUGCCAGACAGGGAAAUUGCGUACGGCUCAUUACACCAGCCUUAAUUUACUUGACCUUGACAACCUACUUGGAUAACUGUGGUAAUUCUAGAGCUAAUACAUGCACCAAAGCUCCGAUCCUCGCGGAGAGGAGCGCAUUUGUUCGCCACAAAACCAAGCGCCCAUCUGGGCGUCCAGUGCUGAACCAGAACAACUCAGCUGAUCGCACGGUCUUGUACCGGCGACGUGUCUUUCAAGUGUCUGCCUUAUCAACUUUCGAUGGUAGUGUACCUGACUACCAUGGUUGUGACGGGUAACGGAGGAUAAGGGUUCGACUCCGGAGAAGGGGCCUGAGAAAUGGCCACUACGUCUAAGGAUGGCAGCAGGCGCGCAAAUUACCCACUCUCAACGCGAGGAGGUAGUGACGAGAAAUAACGAGACCGUUCUCAUACGAGGCCGGUUAUUGGAAUGGGUACAAUUUAAA